Apus apus (common swift) is the source of this 618-nucleotide long non-coding RNA. RefSeq lists it as uncharacterized. The transcript is spliced from 2 exons. The record is from RefSeq and is a predicted model, not a curated record. NCBI's taxonomy places the organism in Eukaryota, Metazoa, Chordata, Aves, Apodiformes, Apodidae.
GUGGACUGAAGAGAAAGAAACACAGCCCAGUAUUUUUUAUCUCAAACUCCCCAGAGAGCUCUGGGUUUCUGUAUCACUUUCUGAAGAAGCCCCAUCAACUUCUCAGAGACUUCUGAAAAGGCUUCAGAAGACAAAACUACUUCCAAAGACAAAAGCAUCUGGCUUCCCUAGAAGACCCGGCAGCCAAAAUGCAGAGAUGUCUUGACAGGAACUGCUGGAUUUAUGGCAUGAGGAUUUCCUGGAGAAGUCAAGGACAGUGCAGACAGCUUGAUGGAGAACCACCUGGAUGUGGCAGUGAAUCUACUGCUGGUACAGAGAGGGAUUUGGCUUCAGCUGCGGAGGAACCAAGAGACGUGCCACCAUCUGUCUUCUCCUCAUGACAAGCCAUGAUGCCACCACUUCGGUGGUCAUGUCUGGCCAUGGUCAGGUCAUUGUGCCUGGGGAGCUCAGGAGUCCCAGAAUCAACGUCUCCAGUGACAAAGUACAAAGGAGCUUGCCAAAAAGAUGAGGAACGAGCAGCUCAGGAUAACCAUGAAGUUGGAUUGAAAAUGUCACGAAUACACAAGAGUUCUUCAAACACUAUAAACCUCACACAUUUAAAUAAAAGAGCAAUUGCAA